CCUACGGGUGGCAGCAGUGAGGGAUAUUGGUCAAUGGGGGAAACCCUGAACCAGCAACGCCGCGUGAGUGAAGAAGGGUUUCGGCUCGUAAAGCUCUGUUGGUAGUGAAGAAAGAUAGAGGUAGUAACUGGCCUUUAUUUGACGGUAAUUACUUAGAAAGUCACGGCUAACUACGUGCCAGCAGCCGCGGUAAUACGUAGGUGGCAAGCGUUGUCCGGAUUUAUUGGGCGUAAAGCGAGUGCAGGCGGUUCAAUAAGUCUGAUGUGAAAGCCUUCGGCUCAACCGGAGAAUUGCAUCAGAAACUGUUGAACUUGAGUGCAGAAGAGGAGAGUGGAACUCCAUGUGUAGCGGUGGAAUGCGUAGAUAUAUGGAAGAACUCCGAUUGCGAAGGCAGCUCACUGGACUGCAACUGACACUGAUGCUCGAAAGUGUGGGUAUCAAACAGGAUUAGAUACCCGAGUAGUC
This 465-nucleotide ribosomal RNA is filed under the name uncultured bacterium. Its description in RNAcentral is "partial 16S ribosomal RNA". It matches the Rfam family "Bacterial small subunit ribosomal RNA", at positions 338 to 795 of the family's 1533-position model. The record is from RNAcentral.